Molecule: unclassified non-coding RNA, 497 nt
Filed under: Anelosimus eximius
Lineage: Eukaryota; Metazoa; Arthropoda; Arachnida; Araneae; Theridiidae
Description: partial contains tRNA-Leu and 16S ribosomal RNA
Rfam family: Eukaryotic large subunit ribosomal RNA (bases 181-340)
Source: RNAcentral
CUUUAUUAAUUUUUUAUAUAUAAUUUAUAUUAAAUAUAAAAAUAUAUUUUUUAAAUAAAAAGACGAUAAGACCCUAUUAAAUUUUACUUAUAGUUUAMCUGGGGAAGUUUUAAAAAUAAAAUUUUUUAUAAAAAUAAAAAUAAAUCUAAUAAAAUUAAAAUUAAAUUAAAUUACUAUAGGGAUAACAGCAUUAUAUUUUUUAAAAGUUCAUAUUAAAAAAAAUGAUUGUGACCUCGAUGWUGAAUUAUAUUUUCUUUAUUAAUGCAAUAAUUAUAAAAGUAGAUCUGUUCGAUCUUUAAAAUAUUACAUGAUUUGAGUUCAAACCGGUGUAAACCAGGKUGGUUUCUAUCUUUUUAUAAAUUCAUAUAUAUAUAUAUAUAUGUAUAUAUAUAUAUAUAUAUAUAUAUAAAUUUUUCAAGUACGAAAGGAAAAAAAAAUUUUUAUUUUAAUUAAUUAGCAAUUAAUAUGCAUUAGAUUUAGAAUCUAAAUAAACUAUU